CCCCUCUCAGAAUUGCACCUGGAGAGUUUCCAGUACUCUACCAGUCUUGGCUAUGGGAGGGAGAGUCAAGCCGAGGCAUAACCAUUCCAUUCCUAGCUUGGGCAGUGGCUAGCGAGUGGAAGGCAAUCUGCUACAAGA
Small nucleolar RNA from Tachyglossus aculeatus (Australian echidna), 138 nucleotides. NCBI's taxonomy places the organism in Eukaryota, Metazoa, Chordata, Mammalia, Monotremata, Tachyglossidae. The record is from RefSeq and is a predicted model, not a curated record.